CAUAUAUGUAAUGCUCUACUGAGGAAUACCUGAUGUCUCCUCAUCUAUAGGCAAAAAUAAUCAAGCAUAAUGAAUUAAUUUCUCUUCUAAUAGUGGAGGCUAGCAAUUUCCUCCAUAAGAAAGGAAAAUGUCUCAGUAGCAGCUUCAUAUAUUCUUACCUCUUGCUAAUAACAUUCUUCCCACAACGUUUCUUUUUAAAUUUUACUGCGCACUUAAAAAGCAUCAUUUUAUUUUAUUUUGUUGAUCAUUGUAUACACAUUGUGUAUUUUCUCAUUCUUCUAAUUCUCUUUUCAGAUGCAGGAAGUCAGUUUUAAAAUAAUAAUAGUAGUAUUUGAAAAUAAGAAAGCAGACAAAUGGCAAAGGUUGGCAAACACGUUGCCUAUUUACUUCAUAGAGACCCCAAUGGAGAACAAGGUGGGUGAUGAUUCAUGCUCAAUGGUUUCCACAAUAUGUUGAACACGACAAUAGCAGCUAACAUAAAGU
RNAcentral lists this long non-coding RNA (483 nucleotides) under Mus spicilegus (steppe mouse). RNAcentral describes it as "lncRNA (ENSMSIG00000025864.1)". Lineage: Eukaryota; Metazoa; Chordata; Mammalia; Rodentia; Muridae. The record is from RNAcentral.